AGAGGUCGCCAAGCGGUAAGGCACCGGUUUUUGAUACCGGCAUUCCCUGGUUCGAAUCCAGGUACCCCAGCCA
RNAcentral lists this transfer RNA (73 nucleotides) under Escherichia coli. Its description in RNAcentral is "tRNA-Gln". The stretch from base 8 to 62 matches the Rfam family "tRNA", at positions 10 to 63 of the family's 71-position model. From Rfam's summary of the family: Transfer RNA (tRNA) molecules are approximately 80 nucleotides in length. Lineage: Bacteria; Pseudomonadati; Pseudomonadota; Gammaproteobacteria; Enterobacterales; Enterobacteriaceae. The record is from RNAcentral.